This 21-nucleotide small nuclear RNA is filed under the name Arabidopsis thaliana (thale cress). RNAcentral's name for it is "snRNA_13248". The record is from RNAcentral. Lineage: Eukaryota; Viridiplantae; Streptophyta; Magnoliopsida; Brassicales; Brassicaceae.
GAGCUCCAAGUGGGCCAUUUU